GAUGAACGCUAGCGACAGGCUUAACACAUGCAAGUCGAGGGGCAGCACAGGUAGCAAUACCGGGUGGCGACCGGCGCACGGGUGAGUAACGCGUAUGCAACUUACCUAUCAGAGGGGGAUAACCCGGCGAAAGUCGGACUAAUACCGCAUGAAGCAGGGGUCCCGCAUGGGGAUAUUUGCUAAAGAUUCAUCGCUGAUAGAUAGGCAUGCGUUCCAUUAGGCAGUUGGCGGGGUAACGGCCCACCAAACCGACGAUGGAUAGGGGUUCUGAGAGGAAGGUCCCCCACAUUGGUACUGAGACACGGACCAAACUCAUACGGGAGGCAGCAGUGAGGAAUAUUGGUCAAGGGCCGAGAGGCUGAACCAGCCAAGUCGCGUGAGGGAUGAAGGUUCUAUGGAUCGUAAACCUCUUUUAUAAGGGAAUAAAGUGCGGGACGUGUCCCGUUUUGUAUGUACCUUAUGAAUAAGGAUCGGCUAACUCCGUG
This 485-nucleotide ribosomal RNA is filed under the name uncultured bacterium. RNAcentral describes it as "partial 16S ribosomal RNA". It matches the Rfam family "Bacterial small subunit ribosomal RNA", at positions 28 to 507 of the family's 1533-position model. The record is from RNAcentral.